UACACAUGCAAGUCGAACGGUAACAGGGUGCUUGCACCGCUGACGAGUGGNGAACGGGUGAGUAAUGCGUCGGAACGUGCCGAGUAGUGGGGGAUAACGCAGCGAAAGUUGUGCUAAUACCGCAUACGUACUGAGGUAGAAAGUGGGGGACCUUCGGGCCUCACGCUAUUCGAGCGGCCGACGUCUGAUUAGCUAGUAGGUGAGGUAAAGGCUCACCUAGGCGACGAUCAGUAGCGGGUCUGAGAGGAUGAUCCGCCACACUGGGACUGAGACACGGCCCAGACUCCUACGGGAGGCAGCAGUGGGGAAUUUUGGACAAUGGGCGAAAGCCUGAUCCAGCCAUGCCGCGUGUCUGAAGAAGGCCUUCGGGUUGUAAAGGACUUUUGUCAGGGAGGAAAUCCCUAGUGCUAAUAACACUGGGGGAUGACAGUACCUGAAGAAUAAGCACCGGCUAACUACGUGCCAG
This 466-nucleotide ribosomal RNA is filed under the name uncultured bacterium. Its description in RNAcentral is "bacterial SSU rRNA". It matches the Rfam family "Bacterial small subunit ribosomal RNA", at positions 50 to 511 of the family's 1533-position model. The record is from RNAcentral.